RNAcentral lists this ribosomal RNA (440 nucleotides) under uncultured bacterium. RNAcentral describes it as "bacterial SSU rRNA". It matches the Rfam family "Bacterial small subunit ribosomal RNA", at positions 338 to 770 of the family's 1533-position model. The record is from RNAcentral.
CCUACGGGGGGCUGCAGUGGGGAAUUUUGGACAAUGGGGGAAACCCUGAUCCAGCCAUGCCGCGUGUAUGAAGAAGGCCUUAGGGUUGUAAAGUACUUUUGUUAGGGAAGAAAAGCUAGUUUUUAAUAAAAAUUAGUGAUGACGGUACCUAAAGAAUAAGCACCGGCUAACUACGUGCCAGCAGCCGCGGUAAUACGUAGGGUGCAAGCGUUAAUCGGAAUUAUUGGGCGUAAAGCGAGUGCAGACGGUUACUUAAGCCAGAUGUGAAAUCCCCAAGCUUAACUUGGGACGUGCAUUUGGAACUGGGUGACUAGAGUGUGUCAGAGGGAGGUAGAAUUCCACAUGUAGCGGUGGAAUGCGUAGAGAUGUGGAGGAAUACCGAUGGCGAAGGCAGCUUCCUGGGAUAACACUGACGUUGAGGCUCGAAAGCGUGGGGAGCA